This 167-nucleotide non-coding RNA is filed under the name uncultured Streptococcus sp. The record is from RNAcentral. Lineage: Bacteria; Bacillati; Bacillota; Bacilli; Lactobacillales; Streptococcaceae.
CAUCGUGAGGUGGAAUCUGAAGGAAGUCCGCGGGCAAAUCUCUGGUCCGACGAACAGAAAUCACAUACAAGGCAUGAGGUAAGGAUGAGGCUGCACGACAAGUCAAAGUCCAAUAACUACUCGAAAUUAUUUCAUGUAAAUGUGGCGGAUAGAUGGAGAGGAAGAUU